This 113-nucleotide ribosomal RNA is filed under the name Candidatus Woesearchaeota archaeon. Lineage: Archaea; Nanobdellati; Candidatus Woesearchaeota. The record is from RNAcentral.
UUGGACGGCCAAAGGGGCUGGGUUCCACCCGUUCCCAUUCGAACACGGCAGUUAAACCAGCAUCCGUACCGGUCUGUACUGCGAUACGCGGGAACUCCGGUAAGCUGUCUACC